GCAAGACCCCAUUUGUGGAAAAAAUAAAAAUAAAAGUAUACGUGAUCUGGGUAUGGUGGCCUGUAGUCCGUAAGAUCUACCAUUUAACUGACAUACAAGAUUGGUUCUAGAAACCACAGGACCCACUGGAAAUGUGACCUCACAGGAAGAUGCGUCUUGUAGGCGGCAGCUGUGAGGUCUGGUUCCCCCACGUGCUGCAGCAACUGCCUUCCAGGCUCUGCCUGCGGGCUCCCUCCAUGCCCAACUCUGCCAUGGACACCAGAGUCCUCUCCUGUGUGGUCAUCUGUCUUCUGGGGACAGGUCUCUCAAAUGCUAGCAUCACACAGAACCCAAGACACCUGGUCAGGAGGAGGGGACAGGAGGCAAGACUGAGAUGCAGCCCAAUGAAAGGACAUAGUCAUGUUUAUUGGUAUCGGCAGCUCCCAGAGGAAGGUCUGAAAUUCAUGGUUUAUCUCCAGGAAGAAAAAAAUCAUAGAUGAGUCAGGAAUGCCAAAGGAACGGUUUUCUGCUGAAUUUCCCAAAGAAGGCCCCAGCAUCUUGAGGAUCCAGCAGGCAGAGCAAGAAGACUCAGCAGCUUAUUUCUGUGCCAGCUCACCACCCACAUCAAUGCAGAGCCACAGCCUUUCAGUCCAUAAACAUCCUCCAGACCUGCCUUGGAAACAGCGGUGGGCUGGGAAGGGAAACGUGUUACCGGUACAGUGAACAGGUCAGCUCUAAGGCAUUCUGCAAGUUGAGGAUGGAAAUAGGGGAGGAUUGUAGGGAUAGCAUGAAACAUCCCAGGCUAUGCUCAGAAACUAAGACUCUGUCAUCCAAAGGACAUAAAGAUUUUUAAGAACUAGACAUAAUUUUUCAGUUUUGACAUUGACUUAAUUUGUCAGUUUCAAAACACUUAGCAGUGUAACUCUUUUUUUAUUCCAUACUGUAUGUCAAGUUCUAUAUUUCAUGCUUUACAUC
Chlorocebus sabaeus (green monkey) is the source of this 954-nucleotide non-coding RNA. The record is from the annotation of a RefSeq genome assembly. NCBI's taxonomy places the organism in Eukaryota, Metazoa, Chordata, Mammalia, Primates, Cercopithecidae.